RNAcentral lists this transfer RNA (58 nucleotides) under Acidimicrobiales bacterium. Its description in RNAcentral is "tRNA-Ser". The record is from RNAcentral. Lineage: Bacteria; Bacillati; Actinomycetota; Acidimicrobiia; Acidimicrobiales.
CGAGGGUGAACCUGUCUUCACACGGCAGAGGUCGGGAGUUCGAGUCUCCCAUCGCCCA